RNAcentral lists this ribosomal RNA (490 nucleotides) under uncultured bacterium. Its description in RNAcentral is "partial 16S ribosomal RNA". It matches the Rfam family "Bacterial small subunit ribosomal RNA", at positions 29 to 507 of the family's 1533-position model. The record is from RNAcentral.
AUUGAACGCUGGCGGCAGGCCUAACACAUGCAAGUCGAACGGUAACAGGAAGCAGCUUGCUGCUUUGCUGGCGAGUGGCGGACGGGUGAGUAAUGUCUGGGAAACUGCCCGAUGGAGGGGGAUAACUACUGGAAACGGUAGCUAAUACCGCAUAACGUCGCAAGACCAAAGAGGGGGACCUUAGGGCCUCUUGCCAUCGGAUGUGCCCAGAUGGGAUUAGCUAGUAGGUGGGGUAACGGCUCACCUAGGCGACGAUCCCUAGCUGGUCUGUGAGGAUGACGAGGCACACUGGAAGUGAGACACGGUCCAGGCUCCGACGGGAGGCACAAGUGGGGAAUAGUGGACAAUGGGCGCAAGAUUGAUGCAUGGGUGCAGCGUGUAUGCAGAAGGGCUUCGGGUUGUAUAGUACUUUUAGCGGGGAGGAAGGGAGUAAAGAUAAAAGCUGCGUUCUUUGACGUUACCCAGAGAAGAAGCACCGGCUAACUACGUG